Long non-coding RNA from Choloepus didactylus (southern two-toed sloth), 520 nucleotides. RefSeq lists it as uncharacterized. The record is from RefSeq and is a predicted model, not a curated record. The transcript has 5 exons. NCBI's taxonomy places the organism in Eukaryota, Metazoa, Chordata, Mammalia, Pilosa, Megalonychidae.
GAAGAACAAGAGGCAGAAUUAAAGCUGGUUUGUGUAUUUAUUCGGACUCGAGUUUGUGUCUCUAUUUAAAGGACUGCUUAUAUAGAGAAGCCCGUAUCUAGGAUUUCUCUGUGACCCCAGCCAGGUGCUGUUUUAACGGGUAGGCGAGAAAUGAAUCAUAUCAGGAUUUGACUUAAAGACUCCAGCCUGUGACUCUCAUCAAGUAGACAGAAGAAUGGGCAGAUGUACCCAUGAAACAAUAUGUUUACACAUCUUCUGUGGAACUUUCUGCUUUCAACUUCCAACCUUGCACUAUUGUUAUAAGUGCAUAUACCUGUUCUGAAAAAGACUGUUCUUGAAGUUUAACUUCAACACAGAAAAGAUAAUUACAGCCACGCACAUCAAGUACUGUAUCUGCUGGUAUUUGAAGAUGGAAGGGCAGGUCUUAAAUCUGGACUACUCCUUAAGCCUGGAUCCCAGAAAGAAGAUCAGAACUGAUUAGAGAUGAUGUGAGCGACCACGAAACCACAAUCAAAUAAAC